This is a non-coding RNA of Sus scrofa (pig), 1046 nucleotides long. The record is from RefSeq and is a predicted model, not a curated record. Lineage: Eukaryota; Metazoa; Chordata; Mammalia; Artiodactyla; Suidae.
AUGAUAUAUUUUCAUGUCAGUGGCUUUAAGAUAAGGAAAAGACUUUAGUGAAAAAUGAAACUUCUGAUGAAUAACUUGUAGGACGUUGAAUAAUAUACAAAUAUUUCUUUCUCCUCUGUCAGAGAGCUUCCAAAUUCUGCUGGGUUGUCAGCCUUGCCACAGCCCUCCUUUUAAAAGGAGCACAAUUUGGGAGGAACAAAGAAAAGAAACCUGGGCAUUUGGGGAAGGAGGAGGGAAGGGGGAGGGAGGGCCAGGAGAAAGAAGAGGAGGGGAAAAAAGAAUCUCAGCAUGCCAUAAUUGAAAGAUCCUAAAAGACGCAGGAAAAUUGGCACAUUGUUGAUAAUAACCAUAAUAACAGAGUUAAUGAUAGGCUCCCGGAAGGACCUUGCUUGGUCUUGGAUUUGUUACAAAGAAAAAGAGACGUUCAGCUGGCAGGCAUGGCUGCGUUCAGCAACGCAACAUUCGUCCUCCCACAGCCACCAGCCACGUUGCCAGCCGGGCCACUUGUCUCUUUCACCAUCCCAGCCCUCAUGUUGCCUUUACAAAAUUCCUGGUAUCUUGGCUCUUCUCUGAGAUUCAACAAAAGAACAGAACCAAGGAGAAAAUUGAAGUGGUGGGAAGUGAGAGACUCCCCCAAGACCACCCAGAGAGUAAAGGCAGAAAGAAACUGGAAUUGAACCCAGCUCACCAGGCCAUGCCUUCUUCAAGCUGAGUUCUUCACAGUUCUCUCAGGAUCUCUCACCAUGUUUGAUCACCACUUAAAACCUUAAUUGGCAUUGUCUGGUUCCAACUUUUGUGAAAAACAAUGGCAAAUUACUUACUGAGGGGACGUUGUCAGAAAAAUUGCUCAACAAAGAUUUUUCUACUUUUGUGAAAAGAAUAAGACAAAAGUAGCAGAGAGCAUAUAAGAACCAUUUCUUUUGCCAAGAAUCUUGAAUAAUGAUUUCCUGUAUCUUUAAUACUCAUUGUGAAGAACCUAUGUAAUUAGUUUCUUUUUCCAUUUCUAAAGACCAAUAAACCAUUCUCUAGCAGAUAUUAUACUACCA